RNAcentral lists this ribosomal RNA (639 nucleotides) under uncultured beta proteobacterium. RNAcentral's name for it is "bacterial SSU rRNA". It matches the Rfam family "Bacterial small subunit ribosomal RNA", at positions 85 to 720 of the family's 1533-position model. Lineage: Bacteria; Pseudomonadati; Pseudomonadota; Betaproteobacteria. The record is from RNAcentral.
CUGGCGGCGAGUGGCGAACGGGUGAGUAAUACAUCGGAACGUGCCCAAUCGUGGGGGAUAACGCAGCGAAAGCUGUGCUAAUACCGCAUACGAUCUACGGAUGAAAGCAGGGGAUCGCAAGACCUUGCGCGAAUGGAGCGGCCGAUGGCAGAUUAGGUAGUUGGUGAGGUAAAGGCUCACCAAGCCUUCGAUCUGUAGCUGGUCUGAGAGGACGACCAGCCACACUGGGACUGAGACACGGCCCAGACUCCUACGGGAGGCAGCAGUGGGGAAUUUUGGACAAUGGGCGAAAGCCUGAUCCAGCCAUGCCGCGUGCAGGAUGAAGGCCUUCGGGUUGUAAACUGCUUUUGUACGGAACGAAACGGCCUUUUCUAAUAAAGAGGGCUAAUGACGGUACCGUAAGAAUAAGCACCGGCUAACUACGUGCCAGCAGCCGCGGUAAUACGUAGGGUGCAAGCGUUAAUCGGAAUUACUGGGCGUAAAGCGUGCGCAGGCGGUUAUGUAAGACAGUUGUGAAAUCCCCGGGCUCAACCUGGGAACUGCAUCUGUGACUGCAUAGCUAGAGUACGGUAGAGGGGGAUGGAAUUCCGCGUGUAGCAGUGAAAUGCGUAGAUAUGCGGAGGAACACCGAUGGCGAAG